AAUGAGACUUCACUGUUUAGUAGUAUGACAAAAUCUCAAGAAGGCUCUACUUCUGUUAAAAAUGGGAUUUGGAGCAUUUUAGAGAUAGCAGAACUUGUAGGAGGAUCUCUUCCUCUUGUUCACCCGGAGGCAUUCCUUGUUAACUUACUUUCAGGUAACUGGAAACGUUCAUAUGUGGCUCUGCAGUGUCUCAGUAAACAUGUAACUUCUA
Molecule: unclassified non-coding RNA, 211 nt
Filed under: Hevea brasiliensis (rubber tree)
Lineage: Eukaryota; Viridiplantae; Streptophyta; Magnoliopsida; Malpighiales; Euphorbiaceae
Source: RNAcentral